Long non-coding RNA from Malaclemys terrapin pileata, 1932 nucleotides. RefSeq lists it as uncharacterized. The record is from RefSeq and is a predicted model, not a curated record. NCBI's taxonomy places the organism in Eukaryota, Metazoa, Chordata, Testudines, Emydidae. The transcript is spliced from 3 exons.
UAACCCAAGAACAUUUGGCGCCAGGGGGGACCUGGAUAAAAAACAAGCCCCAAGACAUUCAUUGAUAUCUGCAAAGGGCCCCCACUUGGAAUGGGUACUGUAAGAGGUCCUACAGAAAAAUGUAUUUGAACUAAAAGAAAAGAAAAGAAAAGAAAAGAAAAGAAAAGAAAAGAAAAGAAAAGCAGCCCAGUUGUGCAGACAACUUAUUCCCCCAGCCCAGACCACAAAAGGGAAUGCUAGGGAGGGGUGAGCCAGUCAACCUGCUGACUAUUUUGAAACAAAGAGUUAGGAUGGUAUAAAAACCUCAGGGAGCUUGGAGCUUGUCUCUUUCAACCGAAACGCUCUUGAAUUGCUGCUGGACUCCAAGAGGAGGUAUGCGCCCUGUUUUUAACCCUGAAAAUAGAUAUUCUAUAAUGCCAUUCUUUGGCCAUGCCAUCUUAGUAAAUAAUGGUGCCUGGCUUUAUUGCAGUGUGAUCUGUUUAGCAUGGAACCAGGAACUUUAAGCUGCAUUUCACCACCAGGCCAAGUACAGUCAAAACACAAGAGGGUAAACAAGCUCAAAAGAAAAAGGAAAGAGACAGCUGAAAAGGAAAAUUCACCAGCAUCAAUGACUGAUUGAUGGAUGAAGCCCAGCACGGGCAGCUUUCCUGACAAUGCUGUAGUCGAAGCUACAGGGACACCUCCACCAGAACCGCCAAAGAACCAGGAAUCUGCUUUGAGACCUUUAACAACGCUAACACAAAACAGCACAAGCAGGAGCGCCGCCAGCUUUUCUGCCGCCCUAGACGGCGGAAGGUCCCACCCCAAAAUGCCACUCCCCGACAGAGGCGGCAGAAGGUCCCGCCGCUGAAAUACCGCCACGGUCACCGCCCCCCAAAUUGUAGCGCCCUAGGCGACCACCUAGGUCGCCUAAUGGGUUGUGCCGGCCCUGAGCACUGAAGCAUGAGGGCAGUCCAAACCUCAUGUACGUCAAACCCAAGGACAAAACAAAAGAUUCUGGUAAAGACCAACCAUGCAAACACAACUCCAGUUCCUCAGCGGCCACCACCACACCAAGCCUUGAGAAAACUGAGCAAAAACGCUCACAUUCACAAACCCGGAGCACGCGCUCUAGGGGUUGUGAACGUGAGCAAAAAUACACACAUUCACAAACCUGGAGCACGCGCUCUAGGGGUUGUGAAUAAAAAACCAAGGACUGACAGACCAUUCUCCCAACACCAUAAGCUCGUCACAGCUCCCCCAUAUUCUAGUAUUUGGGAAAAGUAUGAUGCUUCAUUCAAAAAACUGAUGAAGAUUUGGGGAAAAUAUGAGGCUUUGUUCAGAAUACUGGUGGCUGCUAUAUCCUCAGGGGUCUAAAAGAAAGGAGAGCUGGAAACCACGUCAAAAAUGCAAAAGCUCUGGCGGGUGACUUUUUGAAAAAUACUUCAAUUUUUCCAAAAGGUAGCUCUGAGCAGGCGUGACUAGCCGUGGAAAGGGGCCUGGGUAAAAAGGGCACCCUCAAGGGUACACAUCAGCUCAGGUGUAAACAAAAGGGGGGACAGCUCUUGGUGGACAAACAAAUGGCGGCCAAAAAGUUCCAGGCCAGGGUCUCAGUAAAAAUUUUAAAAAAGGCUAAAGAGGUAAUGAGGAAAAAAAAACAAAAAGAGAUGCCCCCUACUGGAGGCUCUCAAACUGGCUUGUCUGAAAAUGGGGAGGUGGAAUCCGACUCUCACGCAGAGUCUGAUUUAGAAAAUUCCCCAGAGGGCUCUCUAGAAGGUCCCCGUCUCCUCCUGAUGACCCUCACGGAGGCCCCUCGGAGUCUGACUCUCAAAUAGCAUCUGAUGUAGAAGAUGCCGCUGAUGGUCCCAUAGAGGAACCCCCAAGUAACCCUGAAAAUGCAGAGGUGUAUAUGGAGCGAGUGAGAAGUUGACAACGUGAAUUACCUAGAUUUGG